This 730-nucleotide ribosomal RNA is filed under the name uncultured bacterium. Its description in RNAcentral is "bacterial SSU rRNA". It matches the Rfam family "Bacterial small subunit ribosomal RNA", at positions 771 to 1501 of the family's 1533-position model. The record is from RNAcentral.
AACAGGAUUAGAUACCCUGGUAGUCCAUGCCGUAAACGAUGAGUGCUAGGUGUUGGAGGGUUUCCGCCCUUCAGUGCCGGAGCUAACGCAUUAAGCACUCCGCCUGGGGAGUACGACCGCAAGGUUGAAACUCAAAGGAAUUGACGGGGGCCCGCACAAGCGGUGGAGCAUGUGGUUUAAUUCGAAGCUACGCGAAGAACCUUACCAGGUCUUGACAUCUUGCGCUAACCUAAGAGAUUAGGCGUUCCCUUCGGGGACGCAAUGACAGGUGGUGCAUGGUCGUCGUCAGCUCGUGUCGUGAGAUGUUGGGUUAAGUCCCGCAACGAGCGCAACCCUUGUUACUAGUUGCCAGCAUUCAGUUGGGCACUCUAGUGAGACUGCCGGUGACAAACCGGAGGAAGGUGGGGACGACGUCAGAUCAUCAUGCCCCUUAUGACCUGGGCUACACACGUGCUACAAUGGUCGGUACAACGAGUCGCUAACCCGCGAGGGCAAGCUAAUCUCUUAAAGCCGAUCUCAGUUCGGACUGUAGGCUGCAACUCGCCUACACGAAGUCGGAAUCGCUAGUAAUCGCGGAUCAGCAUGCCGCGGUGAAUACGUUCCCGAGCCUUGUACACACCGCCCGUCACACCAUGGAAGUUUGUAACGCCCAAAGUCGGUGGCCUAACCAUUUGGAGGGAGCCGCCUAAGGCGGGACAGAUGACUGGGGUGAAGUCGUAACAAGGUAACC